CACUCUGCCCCAGCCUGUGGCACUGCCUGGGGUUGUUGUGACCCAAGGGCAGGAGCCAGCACUGGGCCUUGUUGAACCUCACACCAUUGGCCUCAGCCCAUGAUCCAACCUGCCCAGAUCCCUCUGCAGAGCCUUCCUGCCCUCCAGCAGGUCAAUACUUACACACACCUUGUCAUCCAUGAAUUUACUGAGAAUACACUCAACCCUCACAUCCAGAUUAUCAAGAAAGAUGUUAAGUAGAACUGGCCCCAUUACUAGCACCAUGCCCCACCACCCUCUGGGCCUGGCCAAUCCAGCAAAGGGUGCACCUGUCCUCUCCAUGGGCUGCCAGUUUUUUCAGAAUACUGUGGGAGACAGAAUCAAAGGCUUUGCUGAAGUCCAGGUAGGCUACAUCCACAGCCUUUCCCUCAUCCACUAGGCAGGUUACCUGGUCAGAAAUAGAGAUUAGUUUGGUCAGGUGGGACCUGCCUUUCCUAAACCUGUUCUGUGUGGGCCUGAUCCAUUGGUUAUUCUGUGUGUACCACGUGAUCAUAUUUAAGAUCAUCUAUUCCAUAGUCUUGCUGGGUGCUGAGGUCAGGCUCACAGGCUGUACUUGCCUGGAUCUGACUUCCAGCCCUUUUUGUGGAUGGACAUCACACUGGCCAACCUCCAGUCAUCUCUGACAUCUCCAGACUUCCCUAAUUAGCUAGGGCUAAGUAAGAAGUCUGAGUCCAGACUAAUGUGUGAUGGCAAUAGAGCUGAGCAUAAAAGGGAACAUCUUAAAUACGCCAAAACGUGGAGCUCCUGCCUGUGUGCUGUAGAGAUGGGGUGCCUUUCAGUAGGAUCCUUGCUGUGCUGUAUCCUUGUCCCCAGCAGCACAGCCUAGGCAGCAGUCUUAGGAAGAGAAAAGUAUAGCUAAAUAUACAGUGAUUUCUUUGGGUGCCAAUUUUCUGCAAACUUCUCAGCCUUCAUUAAUUAUAACUGACGACCUGCAGAAAGUAUGGAGGCAAAGAAAAGGCUGAGAUAGCUAAGCAACACUAUAAUGGUUGUUCCUGCUUUAACAACUGUCAUUCUUUUAAAAAGCUCAGGUACAAUACAUGCUUCCUCUUAAUUGUUUCCCCAGUGACUGUAUUUAGCAAGCUGGGAAAAUGAGCUGGACUAUGUUUUUUUUUUUUUUACUUAAUGAUCUCUGUGUAAAAUUUGGUUCCAACUGAUACUUAAAUUCUUAGUUUACAGGCAUUUGAACAAUAUUGCAAACGUGUCUCUAGCUUUGCGGGGACUGGAACACCCAAUCAAGAUUUACAAACAACUAUUUUCUUAGGUUGUAUCAGAGAUAAACUUAAAAGGUAGUUUUUAAGUACAAAGGCUUCUGUAUAGUUAAGACACCCUUUGAAAUUAAGAGACACAGCUUUUUUUGGUCCCGCAAAAGAAUCACACUGUGCUGUCUUGUCAUUCAUUUGGUUAAAGGGUACUGUACACUGAGGAAUAGUUAAUAAGGACCAAAUCAAGGGGUUUACAUUCUGAAGGGUUUUUUUCCUUUUAUUUUUUUUUACCCAACACAGAUUUUACCUUAUAUUUGUAAAACCUGGGCAUUUGUCCUAAAACUUUAGAAAGUACUUGAACUUUUGUAGCCCAAGUACUAAUUAGAUUAGAGUGUGCUUGUUUUGCCAGUCUAUCUCUGCAACACUGGCUGAGCUGUGGAAUAUUUCAUCUAUUCAGAGCAGUCAGCUUGCAAGGCUAAACACAGCUUACUAACAUAUACUUUGGGUGACAUUAAUAUACUUUGUAUUUUAUUUUGUAUCCCAGCUGAAAGUAUUUUCAUUGUCUGGUUGCCUGUUUCUAUCUCUUCUUUUUCUUUCCCAUCUUCCUUUGACUGUGUUUUGCUGUUGCCUGUCCAUUGUACACUCUGUCUCUAUUAAAGAGACAAAAUGGGUAAAUUUUCCAACCACUUACCUUCCUUCUUCAUAUGCUUCUUGACCUGCAGUCUUGGAAACUGUACCAGAGCUAAUAUGUCAAGCUAAGCCUUGUAAUCAAAUUUGGAAGGUAGAGAUAUUCUAUGGUUAGAGCCUGCAGUAAAAUUUUGUCAGAGAAACCAGUACUUUGUUUUACUUCACUACCUUCAAAGGCUUCACUGGAAUACCUUUCUUAGAGCAGGGAUUUAAUUUUUUUCUACUGGUCUGUGACAAGACAACAUCUAACUUUUGAAGUUGCUCUGAAUAACAUCUAGUUUUUGAAGUUGUUUUGAAUAGAAAGGGAAAGCUUCUUUUUUUUUUCUUUUUUUCUUUUCUUUUUUUUUUUUUUCUGUUCCAGGGAUUAAGAUGAGCUGAGAGAUACACCUGUGCUGCACUUGGACACUUGGAAUAAUAGUGGCACAAUGUGGUCUUGUAUUUCCUGAAACUUAGUGCUUUGAGCCUAUUCCAGGGGAAUAUUAGGAGUUCCAAUAAUUUGGCAGUUUACCACUGAAAAGGAAAGGACCCUUGUGGUUCUGAGAAGCAACAGCAACACAUCCUGAGCAUGGUUUUCACCACAUUUGGGACAACAGCCCGGGCACCAAAGUUCACCAUGUGCACACUUGGAUGACCAGGUCACUGCUUUCUGGAAAAAGCAGAGUAAACAUAACUACACCUUUGUCACUGAGUCAUGCCAGCUUUUUUCUAGAUCUUCAGAACAGAGAACACAACCAAAUAUGGAGCCAUUGAAGGCCAGCUGAACAAGUUGUUCUAAAAGUGAAUUUCUCCAAUAAACAGCCUUUUAUUUUAGAUAUCUGUGUUUCGCUGGACCUAAGAAGAACUGAAAAUGGUGGUUUUCUUCUUUUUUUUUUUUCUGGUCACAAGUUAUUAUUUGGGGAUUUGGAGGAGGAAUGAAGAGAUGCAGAGAGAUUUGUCAAGACAGUUUAGGAUUCAAGAAUACUUAAAAAGGAAAGGCUGAGAGAAAAGCUAGGAAAGUCAUUGAUUCACAUGGCACGAUACAAGGAAGUUUCUCCUCUUUAUCAAGCAAGACCAUGUAUUGACUGCAGUCCAAAAGUAUCUGCAAUGAAAUAGAAACUUGAUAUCUGGCUUCGCCAUCUAGCUGACACACAUAAGAGGAAGUGAUUGCUGAAUUUUAGAAGCUGAAAAAAAUCAAACUGGAACUGACUGGUACUAUUUUCCCUAAAUACAGAUCAAUUAACUACUGAAACAAAGUAAAUUUUAAUGGGCUUUCCAACUCUAGUUUUAACCUCAAGAGGUAUCUAUCUGUCUUAAAAUAGGUAUUGUAGCUCAACUCAGCAAUAGUUCAGGACAGCACAGAGACUUCUAUGACAAAACAGAUCAGCCCAGCGGAUGGUCAAAAUGGUUGUUCUAGCCUUAUCUUUAAUGGGGAGAAAAGUUGUCUUGGUUCUUCCUUCAGCUCUUCUAUGAGUUUACUUCGUGAUCCAUAUUUUUGCCUCUUUGGAGGCUACUAUUUGUAAUGGAGCUUCAGGGCAGCUGCAGCUGUUUAAGAAAGGACAUAAUCAUUUCUAAACGGUGUAGUGUGGCAAGGAAUCCAGGCUGCAUAAGAAUCUAUUCUAAAGAUGCCCAUGGAAGAGAGCCAGCCACACAUGGAAUUUUAGCACUCCUUCGUUCUGUUUAUUCCACUUUCUCAGCAAUAGUCUUCUGCAUUAAUAUUUUAUCCGGCGAUUCUGCAUCACUGUAUGUCUGUGGUCAUAUCCAGAAGGUGGAAUACCAUUCUGGAUUAACAGUUUAAGACCCUCUAUUUACUUAUCUUGAAUGUCUGUAUGAUUUUAAAUGCAGUGAAGGGUAUGUACAUCCUCACACUUGUUUUUUUAGGUUAUCCAAAACUUCUGAUGUGCAAUUCGUCUUUUGUUUGUAAAGUGGUAUUUUGUCCUUUGAAUAAAAAGUGCAGAAGUAAUUAGCAACAUUACCUUAUCAUUAUUUACAGCAAGUCAGUUCCCUCUUUGUGCACAGAAAACUAAAAUUGCAUCCUUCCUUGGCUGAAAACUUCCUUUCUGCAAGCAAUAAAAGAUGCAAUAUCCCUUACAGUGGCUAGUUCAGCUUUCUUGCAAAAAAAAGUUCAGCUAGUUCAGCUUUCUUUCUUUCUUUGGGGCAAAACCACAUUGGCAGAAGGAAAAUGUCUUGUUUCUGAUAUCUGUGAAGCUUCUCUGAACUGACCUGAAUAUGAACUUAUACAAAAGGGACCUCUGUGUAGUGACAAGAACUUGAAAACAGGGUAUAAUUACAUAAGAAAUUUAAAAUAAGUUGAGGAGCAUGUUUCAAUGAGAUCGGCAUUCCAAGUAGUCCCUAACAAGAAUUGAAUAUUUGUUUCUCUGUUGUCACUCAUUUUUCUUUAUGACUGAUCAUCUGAAUUUUUGUGUUAAAUUUUCUCCAGGCUGAAACCUUAUGCAUGAUAGCAAUUCCUGUCAACAGACCUUUGGUACAAAGUUGGCCUUGGUAUCCUAUACAAGUCUCCUGACUUCUUUAACUACUUUGAUACUGGUAAAAAAGGGAUUUGUUUAAAAAAAAAUAAAUUUACAAAAAGAUAUCAAAAAGGAUGGGGUUUUUUGUCCCAUGUUGAAGAAGCUAAUAAAGUGCAUAAUCUGAAGAAGUCAAGAGAAGGAAGAACCACAGUGGUGUCACUAGUAACACUUGCACAUUGGUAAGACUGAUGACCUCCUCAUUGCAGCUUUGACCAGGAGGGAGCUGAGCUCAUUGUUGCCAUUGAUAUCAGUAGCUUCAGAGCUUAGCCUCUGUUCAGAUGAAGCCAGUUUCUCACUGAGCCCCUAAACAUAAUUUUGCAUUUGAAGAGGUUAUUUUUUUCUCUUUUAGAAGUAGUUUUUUCUAAUCAGAUUGCCUUGCACGUCCUUUGUAGUUUCACCGGUUGAGGCUCAUUGAAAGGUAUCUGUGAUGUCUAACUCCUUCCUAAUCAUCUUCACAUCAGAGUAGCUGUUUGAUUGUACUUAAACUACUCUGGGAAUCCAUAGUAAGCAUUGUGGCUUAACCCCAGCCAGCCACCAAGCAUUAGGCAGCUACUUACUCACUGCUCCACUAGCAGGAUCAGGCAGAGAAUCAGAAGGAUAAAAAAGAGAGCUCAUGGGUUGAGGUACAGACAGUUUAACAGGGAAAGCAAAACCUGCACAUGCAGCAGAGCAAAACAAGGAAUUCAUUCACUGCUUCCCAUGGGCAGGCAGGUGCUCAGCCAUCUCCUGGAGAGCAAGGCCCAAUCACACCUAAUGGUGACUUGGGAAGACAAAUACCAGCGCUCCAAAUGUUCCCCUUUCCUCCUUCUUCCCCCCCACUUUGUAUACUGAGCAUGAUAUCACAUGGCCUGGAAUAUCCCUCUGCUCAGCUGGGGUCACCUGUCCUGGCUGUCAUCUCCUCCUAACCUCCCAGGCACUCCUAACUUCCUUGUCAGCAUGGCAAUAUGAAAAGGAGAAAAGGCCUUGGCUCUGUGUAAGCUCUGCUGAGCAAUAAGAAAAAAAUCUCUGUUAUGAACUCUAUGUUCAGCACAAUUCCAAAACACAGCCCCAUAACAGCUACUGUGAAGAAAAUUAACUCUACCCCAGACAAAACCCGCAUGACAAGUGAAAUCAUCAGAUUAUUCCCAGUGUCUUAUGUCUGAAAUUCUGGGGUGAGUGUUCCUAUGUUUCCAUGCCUUGGGAACUCCAUUGCUGUAUUGAAAUGCUUUUAAGAUUGAGAUGCUUCUAAGAAUCAUCUUUAAUUUUACAUCUAUGUGUCUCCUCCCUGGCAAAAACUCUGCCAGACCACUCUCACUGACACAGGAGGUUCCGAAGUACAACAUUAUGAGUUGAUAGCUUAGUAUUUCACACCUCCAGGCUGAAUUUUACCUUCUCCUACUAAAGUCUUGCAUCUCAGAUGCUAUUCUUUGUGUUGCAAUAAAGUCACAAGGAGAAACCUUGCAAAGCAGCAGGACAUUUGCUGGUCUAUUCACAACUGCACUUGACCAUCAUAUCCUCUUUUUUUAUGGGCAUCAGAAGAAAAACCAUUUUAUCUGUGGUUUUGGGGAAAGGAGGCAAAGCCUUUUCCAUCCUCCUUUCUCCAGUUUUACUUCCUGCCUUUAGACUGAAGGAGGUUCCUCUUCUGAAAGAGCCUAAGUCUCUUUGACUUGAGAUGAUGUUUUCCUGGGAUACACACCAGAGUAGAAGCCUAACUGCUCUUCUAGACUGAAAGUAUUCCUCGCUGAGGUGGUCUUGAAGUCUGUUUCUACUCCACAGAUACAAUCUUGUUCCUGCUACAAAAUGGAAUAGCAUGGUUUUGACAACAGCAACAAGAACACAGAUGUGGAGAACCUGGGCCAGGGCAAUUUUGUGGAAGGAGAAGCUGACCCUGGAGAAGUCUCUCACCGCGAGCGAGCGUUUAUACAUCCCCAAUAAAGCCUGGCCUUCUUACCUUUGCUAUGGUCUCUAGGUAUGAAAUUAUCUGCAAACUGGUGCAAGAUAAUCAUCCUGUGGCCAUGUAAGUAUGUUUCUUCUCCUUUUGGUUAGAGGUUUUUAGAACACUUCUCACAAAAAAACAUGGAAUUACAUGUAGCAUAAAACUGAGCUGUAAAUGAGAAAAGUGUUUCUUUAAUAGUUAAAUAUAACAAUAACAACAAAAACAAAAAUCUCAGAACUUACAUUCUUUGCAAUUUCAGUACCCUCUGCUUUUACACAGCAGAAGUAUUUAUUUAGGAUCAGGUAUGCUUGGUUCACAUGUCAUAAGGACCAUCUUCUAACAAUAUUACAAAUUAAUUAGAAAGGCUAAUAUACUGUGUUUCAAGUGGAAAAAAUUGUUUGCUUAUAUCUGCAUCACUAACAUAUGAGACCCAGUCUAGAUACUCCUAUAAUAAAUGUUUAAAUAUAGGUGUUCUGGUCUGAUCACUUUCAUAUAGAGGGAUUUAGUUUUAGUGCAUCAUCUUACCAACAUUGCAGCAGCAAAUUUUGGCCUAAAUUGAAAAAUAAUUUCCAUUUGUGAAUCAUCAACCAGUUUUGUGAUACUUAAUGUUUGGAAAAUCUUCUUAAAGAGAGACAUAAUAUUUUUUAACAUUUUUUAUUUUUUUUAUUUUUUACCCCAGAGAAAGAAUUCUUGAUUUGGUAGGAUAUAGUAAGCCUGGAGAAAAAAAUCCAACACACAAUAGAUGGAAUCAUCUAUUCUCUACCUAUUAUCUAUAUUAUACUAAGGUUUCAUUUUUGUCAUCUCCUUUUUCUCCUGACAGGAACAAAGAAGAGGAAUCAGAACAGUUCCCAUUUUCUUCCUUUCUCAACUCCAGAUUUGUUGGUAGGAAAACCAGAAUUCUAUAAAUAAAAUAAAGUAAAAUAAAUAAAGAAGGUCCAUUAGAUGAUUUUACAUAAAAACCUAGCUGAACUGAUGCACAAGCUGGUAGUCUUGGAAAAGCUUUCAGCAUCCUUGCUACCACCCAUUGUCAUUAAAAAGGUUUCCUAUUUAAUAGACAGAUGGUGGCUGGUUUGUGUUGGAAUCCAAGCCCCCUUCACCUUUGGAAUAUUGAAACAAUGUGGAUAUCAAACCAUGUAGAUUGUUCAAUACCUUACAGUGUUAGAAUGUCUCUGUGUCUUUUGUCUUUCUUGCCUAGAUAAAUGAAUUUCAAAAGCACUUAUUUGCUCUUUCUUUUAAAUUUGAAGAUCACUGGCAUCCACUAACCUAUGCAAUCACUAAAUUAACAAGUGAGAUUGAUCUAUGUAGUGUAGAUGAGAAACAAGUGCAUAUUCUAUUGUCCCAAAUGGAAGUAUUUUAAUACUACAUCCCCCGCUGUGCCACUUGGUGUUACCUUUCCAUAGUCCUGCUUUGCCAAAACCUUGGUGGGGAUUCCAUGGACCAUCAAUUUCUCCUAACAAUCAAAAAGGCCAGCAGCUCAUUUUGGAGAAGCAGAAAGCACCUCUCUCUGGUAGCAAACCAUGGGCAUGCUAUGAUAGGGCAUCCUUCUGUAUUUUGCAGGGAAUUCAAACCCAAUUGUACUUUUUAGGCUCCUGCAAUCUGCAUAAUAUGCAAUUAGACUAAGCAGUUGUAAUUUUUUCUUAGUGACAUGUUCCUCUGCAUAAAUAAAUAUCAAGUGCCAUA
Long non-coding RNA from Parus major (Great Tit), 8027 nucleotides. RefSeq lists it as uncharacterized. The transcript has 8 exons. NCBI's taxonomy places the organism in Eukaryota, Metazoa, Chordata, Aves, Passeriformes, Paridae. The record is from RefSeq and is a predicted model, not a curated record.